UGAGAUUUGUUAUAAAGUUGCAAGCCA
Molecule: non-coding RNA, 27 nt
Filed under: Mus musculus (house mouse)
Lineage: Eukaryota; Metazoa; Chordata; Mammalia; Rodentia; Muridae
Source: RNAcentral